AUAUAUCAAACAAUUAUGAUCACGUAAUGUGGUCGAGUGGUAGAAAGACAAAUUUGAAAUACUAAUAUAUUUCAAAUUCCAUUUACUUGAUAUGUAAAAUUAAAUUAAAUUUAUUUUUAGAUAUUUACACGGAUAUGAUUUUUUGUUUAUGGCAUAUUUGCAUAUCCAAAAAGAGAUUCUUAUAAGUGGAAUGCACUUUGUAUUAAAAAAUAGUUUGAUUUUUUAUAAGUUUGAGAUACUUAUAUAUUAAACAAAAAAAAAAGAGAAAGAAAAAGGAAGAAAAAAUAGUGGACGUUGGAUCUUAGGGGUGGGCACUUUACCCGAUAUCCGAAGUGGCACCCGAACCCGAUCCGAAAAACCCGAACCGAAAUCCGAACCGAAGUAGCAAAAUACCCGAACGGAUAUUGAAUAAGGAGAGAUUGGAUAUCCGAACCCGAACGGAUAAUACCCGAACCCGAAUGGAUAUCCGAAGAUAACCGAACAUAUGUAUAAUUAACCUUAUAUUUCUAGUUUACAUCUCUCAUUUUAUAUAAAAUAUUUAUAUUGAUACUACACAUACUUUAAGUUCAUAUGAUAUACAUACAAUUACGGA
Molecule: long non-coding RNA, 592 nt
Filed under: Brassica rapa (field mustard)
Lineage: Eukaryota; Viridiplantae; Streptophyta; Magnoliopsida; Brassicales; Brassicaceae
Description: long non-coding RNA (BRAP_LNC000437)
Source: RNAcentral